UGGAAAUGAUAAUAAUGUUAAGGCUUGUUUCUAAAAAAAAUUGCAAUUGCCACCAAAGAGCUUUUGCCUUGCUAGGCUUGAGAGUUGUUGCUGCUUCUUCCUUACUUGGAUGUGUGAGCCU
This is a non-coding RNA of Hordeum vulgare subsp. vulgare (domesticated barley), 121 nucleotides long. The record is from Rfam. NCBI's taxonomy places the organism in Eukaryota, Viridiplantae, Streptophyta, Magnoliopsida, Poales, Poaceae.